This 77-nucleotide transfer RNA is filed under the name Oleispira sp. RNAcentral describes it as "tRNA-Arg". It matches the Rfam family "tRNA". Rfam says of the family: Transfer RNA (tRNA) molecules are approximately 80 nucleotides in length. Their secondary structure includes four short double-helical elements and three loops (D, anti-codon, and T loops). Further hydrogen bonds mediate the characteristic L-shaped molecular structure. tRNAs have two regions of fundamental functional importance: the anti-codon, which is responsible for specific mRNA codon recognition, and the 3' end, to which the tRNAs corresponding amino acid is attached (by aminoacyl-tRNA synthetases). tRNAs cope with the degeneracy of the genetic code in two manners: having more than one tRNA (with a specific anti-codon) for a particular amino acid; and 'wobble' base-pairing, i.e. permitting non-standard base-pairing at the 3rd anti-codon position. The record is from RNAcentral. Lineage: Bacteria; Pseudomonadati; Pseudomonadota; Gammaproteobacteria; Oceanospirillales; Oceanospirillaceae.
GGUCCCUUAGCUCAGCGGAUGAGAGCAAAUUCCUUCUAAGAAUUAGGUCCUAGGUUCGAAUCCUAGAGGGACCACCA